UAGCAGUAGGGGAAUCUUCCACAAUGGGCGAAAGCCUGAUGGAGCAACGCCGCGUGUGUGAUGAAGGGUUUCGGCUCGUAAAACNCUGUUGUAAGAGAAGAANGACAUUGAGAGUAACUGUUCAAUGUGUGACGGUAUCUUACCAGAAAGGAACGGCUAAAUACGUGCCAGCAGCCGCGGUAAUACGUAUGUUCCAAGCGUUAUCCGGAUUUAUUGGGCGUAAAGCGAGCGCAGACGGUUAUUUAAGUCUGAAGUGAAAGCCCUCAGCUCAACUGAGGAAUUGCUUUGGAAACUGGAUGACUUGAGUGCAGNAGAGGAAAGUGGAACUCCAUGUGUAGCGGUG
RNAcentral lists this ribosomal RNA (343 nucleotides) under uncultured Weissella sp. Its description in RNAcentral is "bacterial SSU rRNA". It matches the Rfam family "Bacterial small subunit ribosomal RNA", at positions 349 to 683 of the family's 1533-position model. The record is from RNAcentral. Lineage: Bacteria; Bacillati; Bacillota; Bacilli; Lactobacillales; Lactobacillaceae.